This 270-nucleotide ribosomal RNA is filed under the name uncultured archaeon. Its description in RNAcentral is "partial 16S ribosomal RNA". It matches the Rfam family "Archaeal small subunit ribosomal RNA", at positions 477 to 747 of the family's 1478-position model. The record is from RNAcentral.
CAGCACCUCAAGUGGUCAGGAUGAUUAUUGGGCCUAAAGCAUCCGUAGCCUGUUUUGUAAGUUUCCGGUUAAAUCCAUUAGCUCAACUAAUGGGCUGCCGAAAAUACUGCAAAACUAGGGAGUGGGAGAGGUAGACGGUACUCGGUAGGAAGGGGUAAAAUCCUUUGAUCUAUUGAUGACCACCUGUGGCGAAGGCGGUCUACCAGAACACGUUCGACGGUGAGGGAUGAAAGCUGGGGGAGCAAACCGGAUUAGAUACCCGCGUAGUCC